RNAcentral lists this ribosomal RNA (397 nucleotides) under Wolbachia endosymbiont of Tamarixia dryi. Its description in RNAcentral is "bacterial SSU rRNA". It matches the Rfam family "Bacterial small subunit ribosomal RNA", at positions 1013 to 1408 of the family's 1533-position model. The record is from RNAcentral. Lineage: Bacteria; Pseudomonadati; Pseudomonadota; Alphaproteobacteria; Rickettsiales; Anaplasmataceae.
GGUCGGUUCGGCCGGGUUUCACACAGGUGUUGCAUGGCUGUCGUCAGCUCGUGUCGUGAGAUGUUGGGUUAAGUCCCGCAACGAGCGCAACCCUCAUCCUUAGUUACCAUCAGGUAAUGCUGGGGACUUUAAGGAAACUGCCAGUGAUAAACUGGAGGAAGGUGGGGAUGAUGUCAAGUCAUCAUGGCCCUUAUGGAGUGGGCUACACACGUGCUACAAUGGUGGCUACAAUGGGCUGCAAAGUCGCGAGGCUAAGCUAAUCCCUUAAAAGCCAUCUCAGUUCGAAUUGUACUCUGCAACUCGAGUGCAUGAAGUUGGAAUCGCUAGUAAUCGUGGAUCAGCACGCCACGGUGAAUACGUUCUCGGGUCUUGUACACACUGCCCGUCACGCACAUGG